CCUACGGGUGGCAGCAGUCGAGAAUCAUUCACAAUGGGGGAAACCCUGAUGGGGCGACGCCGCGUGGGGGAAUGAAGGUCUUCGGAUUGUAAACCCCUGUCAUGUGGGAGCAAAUUAAAAAGAUAGUACCACAAGAGGAAGAGACGGCUAACUCUGUGCCAGCAGCCGCGGUAAUACAGAGGUCUCAAGCGUUGUUCGGAAUCACUGGGCGUAAGGCGUGCGUAGGCUGUUUCGUAAGUCGUGUGUGAAAGGCGCGGGCUCAACCCGCGGACGGCACAUGAUACUGCGAGACUAGAGUAAUGGAGGGGGAACCGGAAUUCUCGGUGUAGCAGUGAAAUGCGUAGAUAUCGAGAGGAACACUCGUGGCGAAGGCGGGUUCCUGGACAUUAACUGACGCUGAGGCACGAAGGCCAGGGGAGCGAAAGGGAUUAGAUACCCGUGUAGUC
This 446-nucleotide ribosomal RNA is filed under the name uncultured bacterium. RNAcentral describes it as "partial 16S ribosomal RNA". It matches the Rfam family "Bacterial small subunit ribosomal RNA", at positions 338 to 795 of the family's 1533-position model. The record is from RNAcentral.